UACGGGAGGCAGCAGUGGGGAAUAUUGCACAAUGGGCGCAAGCCUGAUGCAGCCAUGCCGCGUGUAUGAAGAAGGCCUUCGGGUUGUAAAGUACUUUCAGUCGUGAGGAAGGUGUUAAGGUUAAUAACCUUAGCAAUUGACGUUAGCGACAGAAGAAGCACCGGCUAACUCCGUGCCAGCAGCCGCGGUAAUACGGAGGGUGCGAGCGUUAAUCGGAAUUACUGGGCGUAAAGGGCACGCAGGCGGUUAAUUAAGUUGGAUGUGAAAUCCCCGGGCUUAACCUGGGAAUGGCAUUCAAGACUGGUUAGCUAGAGUCUUGUAGAGGGGGUAGAAUUCCAUGUGUAGCGGUGAAAUGCGUAGAGAUGUGGAGGAAUACCGGUGGCGAAGGCGGGCCCCUGGGACAAAGACUGACGCUCAUGUGCGAAAGCGUGGGGAGCAAACAGGGAUUAGAUA
Molecule: ribosomal RNA, 453 nt
Filed under: uncultured bacterium
Lineage: Bacteria
Description: bacterial SSU rRNA
Rfam family: Bacterial small subunit ribosomal RNA
Source: RNAcentral